Aethalodelphis obliquidens (Pacific white-sided dolphin) is the source of this 1441-nucleotide long non-coding RNA. RefSeq lists it as uncharacterized. The record is from RefSeq and is a predicted model, not a curated record. Lineage: Eukaryota; Metazoa; Chordata; Mammalia; Artiodactyla; Delphinidae. The transcript has 3 exons.
AAAGAGGAAGGGAGCCGACUGGCCCCAAGGUUUCUCUUUCCCUGAGAAACCUCAGGAGGGACCCCCAAGACAAAAUCAAGUGGAGUGUGUUUUAUGAACCAGCCAGAAAGCAAAGAGAAGGUAGGAGGGGAGCAGAGACACUGCUCCAGGAAGUGGGUGGUCUGCCUAUACCAGUGGAUCCCCCUGGCCUCCCCUGUGCUGAGCCCCACUGACAGCUACUUCUUUUUUCUUUCUUUUUUUUUUUUUGUGGCCGCUGCUACAGCAUGUGGGAUCUUAGUUCCCUGACCAGGGAACAAACUCGCGCCUCCUGCAGUGGAAGCUCGGAGUCAACCACUGGACGGCCAGGGAAGUCUCUGGCAGCUACUUCUUAGGUGUUGGCUUUCUGCAAUAUUGUUUGCUUUCUGUGGGGUCUUGGUCCAUGCCUAAAACAGAGGUUACUGUACCAUUUAGGGCCCUAAAAUGAUUUAAUUAAGUCCUUGGAGUCCUUGUUACAUGUGGACUCCUUCUGUGAUGUUGGUAACUUUUAAUUUUGAAUUGCAUUAUUAAAAUCAACUCAUUUUAGAACAUUUGUGGCGGGGGCGGGGGUGGGGUCCUGGUAGCUUGUUUCCACACCUGCCAUUACGGCACCCAGUGGUUAAUGACACUGUCCUAAUCUUAUUAAAAGCGAAAAAGAAAUAUAUUUACAUCUAAAUUUUAAAUAUCGAUUAAUUUUCAAAAACACUGACAUGAAGAAUGCAAAUUCAAAUGGUCCAAGCUGAGUGAGGAGUAAUUUCAGUCUUGUUAGCUUUUGACAGUGACCCUGGAUGAAUUUGAGAAGCAGGUGGUUUCAGGCUCUGGGCUCCUAGAAUCCGCUGACGCUCAGGAACUCUGUCAAUUACCAAGAAAAGUAUCUCCGGAUCAGUCCAGACUGGGGUUCGGAUGUGACUGGCAAACUGCUCCUGGAGAGACAAAUUCUCGUGCAACCAGGCUCCCUGAAAGAAUUUUUGCAUGGCUUAAGAAGCUGCUGUCAGGGAGCCUUGAGACUUCCUAUGAGGCUGUCCUAGAGGGGACCCAGAUAGACACAGCCCAUGUGACCUGCAGGGCAGAGAACAGAGCAAGGUCAGCGGCCCCUCCCACCCCAUCCAGACCUCAAGCACUCCCUGUCACAUCUACCCUCACUGUUGUCUAAUGGUUUUCUCUAUACUAGGUUCUAUUUUUGUUCUCACUAUAAAAAUAAUAGAUGCUCCUUGUAGAAAAACAAACAGGAGAGAUACAUAUUGCUCCCGGUUCGAACACCCUGAGACAGCUCCGGGGGUCUUGUGAAGUGUCACCCUGUCUUGUAUCCAAAGUAGCACACAGGGUCCACUGCUGAUUCAUCUAACUCCACUUCCCUGGCAUUGAGGCAAAUCUUUACCAUUUGUGUUUUUUAUAAAUGUAUUUAGUUUAUUUUUUUUUGGCUGCA